UGUGCUAUGAUUGUGCCAGUGAAUAGCCA
Molecule: non-coding RNA, 29 nt
Filed under: Homo sapiens (human)
Lineage: Eukaryota; Metazoa; Chordata; Mammalia; Primates; Hominidae
Source: RNAcentral